Molecule: long non-coding RNA, 247 nt
Organism: Sphaeramia orbicularis (orbiculate cardinalfish)
Lineage: Eukaryota; Metazoa; Chordata; Actinopteri; Kurtiformes; Apogonidae
Exons: 3
Source: RefSeq, a predicted model, not a curated record
GGACUGCAAUGGAAUCUGUAGUGUUUUUAAGGGACAAAGACUCCGCUUCCCAUGAGCACUAGCACCUACUGUCUUAAGGGCAUAACUCUGGCCAAGGUUGAAGCUAAUGAAUGAAGAGCGGAUCUUCUUUACAACUCCACAUUUCUUUUUUCAAGACAGCAACUUGCAGAUGCAAAGUGACAUUUGAAACGAGACAACAAGCAAACUUCAUGAAGUCCGUUUGUAGCGUGAAAACAAAAGUGAAACC